This 666-nucleotide small RNA is filed under the name Pongo abelii (Sumatran orangutan). Its description in RNAcentral is "retained intron". Lineage: Eukaryota; Metazoa; Chordata; Mammalia; Primates; Hominidae. The record is from RNAcentral.
CCAUCCCCCCAAGAGUGCUUGUCCCACUGGCAGAGACCCACUGUGAGGAGCAGGGUGAUGCAGUCUUCGAAUGUACCCUCUCCAGCCCCUGCCCUAGUGCAGCCUGGCAUUUCCGGCACCGGCUACUCCACCCCAGUGAAAAAUAUGAAGUGUUCGUGUCCCCCGACGGGCUGACCCACCGGCUGGUGGUGAGGGGGGCCUGUUUCUCAGACAUGGGCCCCUACUCGCUGGGCACUGGGCUCUACACUUCCAGCGCCUGGCUGGUGGUUGAAGCUGGGAAGGAUAAAGACCUUCAGUCCACAAGUGCUGACCACCAACUGCAGAGGCAAGGAGCCCAGGCCUCAGGAGCAGAAGAGUCUGGGAGCAUCAACAGCCAGGGAGAGAAAUCCAGAGAGCAGGGACCCAGGGGGGGCUCCCUUGAAGGGGCUGGGCCGGCUUCUGGGCUCCAGCACAUAGCCAGCCCAGACAGGGAUGGCCUUGGCAGACAUGGCUACUCCUUGAUGGGGGACAAAGGGGCAGCUGACUCAGCCUGGGGCCCUGGACAGGAGGGCGAGGGCUUUCUAGUAGCAGAGGGAAGCAGAGCCACUCUUCCCAGGGAAAAUCAAUUCCGCAGAGAGGGAGGCUGGGCCAGAAGCCUUGCAGAGAGGCCCCAUCUACAGGGAGAGA